Long non-coding RNA from Raphanus sativus (radish), 2265 nucleotides. RefSeq lists it as uncharacterized. The record is from RefSeq and is a predicted model, not a curated record. The transcript has 4 exons. Lineage: Eukaryota; Viridiplantae; Streptophyta; Magnoliopsida; Brassicales; Brassicaceae.
UCUUGUUUUUUUAUUUUUUUUCACAGAUUUUACUUUUCAAAAAUAAUUACUUCCCAAAUUAUAUUUUUGUUCAAUUGAAUACAAAUUAAUAAGUAGAAUCGGUGCUCUGCUGCAGUUGUGGAUCCGUCUCUACAGUUGUGCAUCCGCGGAACACCAGUGCUCUGUUCAUAGUUUCGCCGUCAUCUCGUGGCUCCUUUGGUCGCGACUCGCCGUGAUGAGCCGCUGCAGACUCUCCUCUAAUCGUCUUCAAAGGGAAAUCAUGAGACUCCAGUAAUAAAACUCCGACAAUCAUCAUUACACAUUCACACAUACGGAAUCAGAGUAUAGCCAGAUCUGUACGAUUUUUCGCUGCAAUGGGCAUAGGUAACAAACACUGGCUGAAUUCUUAUCCUACCUUAAUUUCAGUCCUCUACUUCUAAAUUCAGCAUCCACAGCCUAGCCAAGAUGAUUUGGAUACAGCCUCAUUCCAGGUUUGAACGCAAGCAAAAGAAGAACUAUAGAAGUAAUGCAAAGAGCGAGAACGUAUACAUGGAUUGUACAUGUGGAUAUCACUACAUCAAUGUACAUAUUUGUUAAAUUUUCUUUGUUUUACAUAUGGAAAAAAAUUUCAGCGCAAGCAAUAGACAUGCCUCUGUCCACUCAUACCCACAUCCAUGUUGUUUGUAGUAGUCUUCCCAACUUUUGACGCGGCACCAUGAUCUUAAUAACUCAAGAGGAAACACGAAAGAAAGAAAAAAAUAUAAUUCAAUAAUGCAAUACAGCUCCGAAAAGAUAAUGCAAUACAAUUAACUCGCUUAUACUAAGCUACGAAGAGAAGAAAGUUGAGGCUUUACUACUAACAGUCCACCAUUCUAUAAAGAGUGUACUCCAACCAAUCACUAACGAAGCUAACCUAAACUGUGUGUUACAGAAAUCAAAUGUAAAAGCACGACCAGAUCACAAAAAGGCAUGAACUUUUUCAGAUAUCUGUACAAUUUUUUUUAUAAAUCUCUCUAAGGAAUAAGUCUAGCAACAAAGGUGAUCCCAAAAAGAGCACAAAGAUCGAACCUUCAAGCGUAGAUUCUUAGCAUCUGCUGGAGCUGCAUUCUCCGAGCUGGUAAGACCGUUUUAAGCUCCAGAGUUCCUAUCUGAAACACAAACACACACACAUCAACCGCCUUGGUUUUCUCAGAUUCUUCACACGGAAAAACCCUAAAUCACGCAAAUGUUCAUUCACAAUCCCUAAUUUCGUGAAAAGCUUCUAAUUCAACACCAAAAGAUUUCGCCUUUUUCGAAAUUGGUUUCGAGGGUCUUGCGAAUAGGUUCCUCUCACUUGUAAUCGAACACCGAGGAUGAUAAAUUGAAAAAAACAGAGAAAGGAAAGAAAAAAGGGAGAAACUUGCCUGGAAGAGAAGCAGCACAUCCCAUAGAUCUUUAUAUAGAGAAUUUGAUGAGAUUAUAGAGCUGAGAGAUCGUAUCCAAUUUUUGGGGUUGAUGGCAGCGAGUCGAGGAAGAAGAAGAAGGAGGAUCGUCCUUGACUUUGCCAACCGAUUAUCCAAGUUUUAUUUUAAAGGCUCUUGACUUUAUUUGUCGUCAUUGUUUUAACGAUGACAACUGACAAGAGAAUACAAAAAAAAUCCAUUACUCUCUUUCAUUAGAAAGAGGAUAGAUUUGUCUUUUCAUCUCCAUAAAGUACCUCAGUAGUAUAAAGUGAUCUUUUAUGAUAUAUAAAGUCAUAAUGUGACUUAAAAGGUAAAUCUCUCGAAAGAAAAAUGGAAAGGGAAGAAAUAAAAAGAAAAGAUCAGAGAGACGGCUCUUGACUAGCGAACAAUCUAUAACUACAAAAUCAAAAAUUGAUGGAGAAAAUCAAAAAUUGAUGGUGAAAAUCAAAAGGUCUACCACGUAUAUUCAAAAAAAAAAAGACAACUUCAAAAUGUAGAAAUAGUAAGAUCCUAAUAUGCAGAUGAAGAGUUUCUUAGAUCUGAAAUAUUUCGAAUGGAACCGGACCGGACGAACAUCAUCUGUAUAUCAGAGACUUUAAUACCUCUGAAGAAACAAACAAAGGGUAGGAAGUAACUAAAAGUGAAGCAAUACUACCACCAUAAAAGAUAAUUUCGUUGAUACAAUCGUAAAAAUCUUUCAGUGUAUUAGAAUCUUUUUUCGUUUGAGCAACCAGUGUUUUAGACUUUAGUCUGAUAUAUGUGGCUUUAUCAGGACCAUCUCUGUUUUGCAUGCCACAUCCAAAUGUGAAAAGAAGCAAAAUGAUGAAAUUUCUCCCAAAAUAAA